Small nucleolar RNA from Quercus robur (English oak), 129 nucleotides. RefSeq annotates it as small nucleolar RNA snoR74. The record is from RefSeq and is a predicted model, not a curated record. The transcript has a single exon. Lineage: Eukaryota; Viridiplantae; Streptophyta; Magnoliopsida; Fagales; Fagaceae.
AAAAAAGCAGUGCCCUUUUGCCUUUUGUGAAGAGGGUUCUCGUAAAUUUCAGGAAAAUUAGUUGCAUUGUUAUUGGGUGAACCUAUGUAGUUUUUGGUUGCUGAUGGUUCAGUAAAUGAUGCUACAUAU